AUACGUAGGUGGCAAGCGUUGUCCGGAAUUAUUGGGCGUAAAGCGCAUGUAGGCGGUAAUUUAAGUCUGUCGUGAAACUGCGGGGCUCAGCCCCGUAUGGCGAUGGAAACUGGGUUACUUGAGUGCAGGAGAGGAAAGGGGAACUCCCAGUGUAGCGGUGAAAUGCGUGGAUAUUGGGAAGAACACCGGUGGCGAAGGCGCCUUUCUGGAAUGUGUCUGACGCUGAGAUGCGAAGGCCGGGGUAGCGAACGGGAUUAGAUACCCCGGGAGUCCUGGCCGUAAACGAUGGGUACUAGGUGUGGGAGGUAUCGACCCCUUCCGUGCCGGAGUUAACGCAAUAAGUACCCCGCCUGGGGAGUACGGCCGCAAGGCUUAAACUCAAAUGAAUUGACGGGG
This 396-nucleotide ribosomal RNA is filed under the name uncultured bacterium. RNAcentral describes it as "partial 16S ribosomal RNA". It matches the Rfam family "Bacterial small subunit ribosomal RNA", at positions 523 to 918 of the family's 1533-position model. The record is from RNAcentral.